Homo sapiens (human) is the source of this 458-nucleotide long non-coding RNA. Lineage: Eukaryota; Metazoa; Chordata; Mammalia; Primates; Hominidae. The record is from Ensembl.
AUUUUCCUUAAAAUUUAGACUUGCACAGUAAGGACUUCAACUGACCUUCCUCAGACUGAGAACUGUUUCCAGUAUAUACAUCAAGUCACUGAGAGAACAUCACCACCCUGAAGCCAGAGACUAACACUGCAGGACUCAGCAGGACUAUUUAAGAAACAACUGAGGCAUCAGACCAACUUUCCCCACAAGUCCUCGGAUCUUUCCUGCCAUGCUGAUGCCAUAUAUUCCAACGUGAUCAACCUGGCUCCCCAGAAGGAGGACGACUUUGCUGUCUACACCAACAUGCCCCCUUUUCAUCACCCCAGGAGGACAUUGCCAGACCAAGUGGAAUAUGUCUCCAUUGUAUUCCACUGAUGGGAAGCUAAUGAGAUGCUCAGAGUGGGGGUCAGACCUGGCCCCAGCUGAAUCUUGGCAUACCCUUUGCUUUAGAUUUAUGUGUGUGUUUAAAAAAAAAAAAA